Molecule: ribosomal RNA, 417 nt
Filed under: uncultured Pseudomonas sp.
Lineage: Bacteria; Pseudomonadati; Pseudomonadota; Gammaproteobacteria; Pseudomonadales; Pseudomonadaceae
Description: bacterial SSU rRNA
Rfam family: Bacterial small subunit ribosomal RNA
Source: RNAcentral
GAACCUUACCAGGCCUUGACAUGCAGAGAACUUUCCAGAGAUGGAUUGGUGCCUUCGGGAACUCUGACACAGGUGCUGCAUGGCUGUCGUCAGCUCGUGUCGUGAGAUGUUGGGUUAAGUCCCGUAACGAGCGCAACCCUUGUCCUUAGUUACCAGCACGUUAUGGUGGGCACUCUAAGGAGACUGCCGGUGACAAACCGGAGGAAGGUGGGGAUGACGUCAAGUCAUCAUGGCCCUUGCGGCCUGGGCUACACACGUGCUACAAUGGUCGGUACAAAGGGUUGCCAAGCCGCGAGGUGGAGCUAAUCCCAUAAAACCGAUCGUAGUCCGGAUCGCAGUCUGCAACUCGACUGCGUGAAGUCGGAAUCGCUAGUAAUCGUGAAUCAGAAUGUCACGGUGAAUACGUUCCCGGGCCUU